UACGUAGGGGGCAAGCGUUGUUCGGAAUUACUGGGCGUAAAGGGCGCGUAGGCGGCACGGCAAGUCGGGAGUGAAAGGCCUGGGCUCAACCGAGGAACUGCUUUCGAGACUGCCGAGCUAGAGUGCGGAAGGGGCAACUGGAAUUCCCAGUGUAGCGGUGAAAUGCGUAGAUAUUGGGAAGAACACCUGUGGCGAAAGCGGCUCACUGGACCAUAACUGACGCUGAGGCGCGAAAGCUAGGGGAGCAAACAGG
Molecule: ribosomal RNA, 253 nt
Filed under: uncultured bacterium
Lineage: Bacteria
Description: partial 16S ribosomal RNA
Rfam family: Bacterial small subunit ribosomal RNA
Source: RNAcentral